GAGAGUGGCGAACGGGUGCGUAACGCGUAUGCAACCUACCUUCAUCAGGGGGAUAGCCCGGAGAAAUUCGGAUUAACACCGCAUAAAAACACAGUACGGCAUCGUACAAUGUUCAAAUAUUAAUAGGAUGAAGAUGGGCAUGCGUGUCAUUAGCUAGUUGGUAAGGUAACGGCUUACCAAGGCGACGAUGACUAGGGGAUCUGAGAGGAUGACCCCCCACACUGGUACUGAGACACGGACCAGACUCCUACGGGAGGCAGCAGUAAGGAAUAUUGGUCAAUGGAGGCAACUCUGAACCAGCCAUGCCGCGUGCAGGAAGACUGCCCUAUGGGUUGUAAACUGCUUUUAUACGGGAAUAAACCUAUCUACGAGUAUAUAGCUGAAUGUACUGUAAGAAUAAGGAUCGGCUAACUCCGUGCCAGCAGCCGCGGUAAUACGGAGGAUCCAAGCGUUAUCCGGAUUUAUUGGGUUUAAAGGGAGCGUAGGCGGCCGUUUAAGUCAGAGGUGAAAACUUGCAGCUCAACUGUAAGCUUGCCUUUGAUACUGAAUGGCUUGAAUGAACUUGAGGUAGGCGGAAUGUGACAAGUAGCGGUGAAAUGCAUAGAUAUGUCACAGAACACCAAUUGCGAAGGCAGCUUACUAAGGUUUAAUUGACGCUGAGGCUCGAAAGCGUGGGGAUCAAACAGGAUUAGAUACCCUGGUAGUCCACGCCCUAAACGAUGAUAACUCGAUGUUGGCGAUAUACAGUCAGCGUCCAAGCGAAAGCGUUAAGUUAUCCACC
RNAcentral lists this ribosomal RNA (781 nucleotides) under Pedobacter glucosidilyticus. Its description in RNAcentral is "bacterial SSU rRNA". It matches the Rfam family "Bacterial small subunit ribosomal RNA", at positions 91 to 873 of the family's 1533-position model. Lineage: Bacteria; Pseudomonadati; Bacteroidota; Sphingobacteriia; Sphingobacteriales; Sphingobacteriaceae. The record is from RNAcentral.